This 24-nucleotide microRNA is filed under the name Brachypodium distachyon (stiff brome). Its description in RNAcentral is "bdi-miR7785-3p". The record is from miRBase by way of RNAcentral. Lineage: Eukaryota; Viridiplantae; Streptophyta; Magnoliopsida; Poales; Poaceae.
UUUCUUCUGUGAGCCUGACUGAGC